GACAGAGGUGGCAAGCGUUGUUCGGAUUUACUGGGCGUAAAGCGCACGUAGGCGGCUUUGUAAGUUAGAGGUGAAAUCCUGGAGCUCAACUCCAGAACUGCCUCUGAUACUGGGAAUCUUGAGUCCGGGAGAGGUGAGUGGAACUGCGAGUGUAGAGGUGAAAUUCGUAGAUAUUCGCAAGAACACCAGUGGCGAAGGCGGCUCACUGGCCCGGUACUGACGCUGAGGUGCGAAAGCGUGGGGAGCAAACAGG
RNAcentral lists this ribosomal RNA (253 nucleotides) under uncultured bacterium. RNAcentral describes it as "partial 16S ribosomal RNA". It matches the Rfam family "Bacterial small subunit ribosomal RNA", at positions 524 to 776 of the family's 1533-position model. The record is from RNAcentral.